Helianthus annuus (common sunflower) is the source of this 291-nucleotide long non-coding RNA. RefSeq lists it as uncharacterized. The record is from RefSeq and is a predicted model, not a curated record. The transcript is spliced from 3 exons. Lineage: Eukaryota; Viridiplantae; Streptophyta; Magnoliopsida; Asterales; Asteraceae.
GAUCAAAACCACAGGGAACAGAGUUCCUCAUCUCAAACCCUAAUUUCCUAAAAUACUACCCAAAAAUCAAAGAAGGAAUCAAGUAGGAAUUGAUUUCAAGCUAAAUUCGUGAUCAUUACACUUAGGGGAUCACAAGGCAAUUUGGGUGGAAACUCAAGUAAUCAAGGAAGAUCAGAUACCCGUUUGAAAGGAAAGCGUUAAAGGUAAUCGUAGCAACCUGCGGAUGAAGAUCAAGCUUGUUAGAGGAUCGAACACGCACACAUGAUGAAGCUUCCGAUAAAUUAAUCGUGU